AACGUCACACACUUCAUAGCGCUCCUAGGACUUGAACUUAGUCUGGUUUGCCUUCCAAGUCCAGAUUCUCCAAAACAUUUUUUCUUUUUCUUUUAACUUACUAAAUGGUGAAGUGGCCAGAUAAGCAGCCUACAGAUAAGUGAGGUCUACAAUUCAUCACACACCGAUAAUGCUGACAUAUAACAGUUUCCGUAUCUUUACAAAGGCAAUAAAUGGAUGAAGAGAUGUGAUGAGGAAACCACGCUCUCUAUAUGCAUGCAAGCUAUUUGGAAGCUCUAAUAAAAACUUGGGAAACAAAA
This is a long non-coding RNA of Homo sapiens (human), 299 nucleotides long. The record is from Ensembl. NCBI's taxonomy places the organism in Eukaryota, Metazoa, Chordata, Mammalia, Primates, Hominidae.